Molecule: non-coding RNA, 6477 nt
Organism: Sus scrofa (pig)
Lineage: Eukaryota; Metazoa; Chordata; Mammalia; Artiodactyla; Suidae
Source: RefSeq, a predicted model, not a curated record
UUUCAUUUCUUCUUGGUGGUUGUGUGCAUGCGGUGGGAUGGGGAGAGUGCGUGUGUGCGCUGUGGGCAGGGUCGACUUCUUCCGAGUGUGGUCUUCUCGGUGAUAGGUUGUGUGUCCAAGUAUGCUCGUGUCUGCGCUGGUUGGUGUGUAGAUUUGGAUUCUUCAGGGCCCUGCUGCCUUUUCUUCGUUGUAUAUAUUUAUGCUCGUUUGCCUCUCGACUUGUGUGUUGGGUUGCGUGGCCGUUGCGAUUGUGUUUGGGGGGUUUCGUUGUUGCAUCGGGCCGUGCGAGCCUUACUACGUUGGGUUGUGCGGUCACGAGAGAUUGCGUUUCACCGAUUUCGUUGUGUCGUGCUGGACAAUGUUUGGAGCUGAGAGAGUCGGCCUGCGGGGCAGUGUUGCGUUGUGCCUGCUUAGCUUCCCUUCUAUGCGACUGGACAGCGUGUGGCCCAGUCCACACCGGGUUGUGUGCCUGUGUGCUUGUGUCCUUUGGACGCGCGUUUGUAAAUCGCUGGGGGCUGGAGGGGAGGGCAAGCGAGAGAGAGAUGGAGGCGCAAGUUAAGGAGGCGGCAUGGGGGCGGGGAGAGGGAUUUCACGUUUUAUUCUAAAUUAUGAUGUAUUCGGAGGCCAGCGUCGGCUUGGGUAGGCAGACGGAGCCCGGAUGGGCGGCCGGCUGCUCCGUCCGGAGGCCAGUCUGUGCCUCGGUGGUGUUGGAUGAGUUUGUUAGUGAGCGGGAGGUGCUUCCAGGCUGGAAGCGGAGCAGCGCUUGCGGAGACCCGCGCCUUCACGCCGGGGGUAGCCGCCGGCUUCGGUUCCGCGGCACUGAGGCUUUGUCCAUCUCUGGUCAGUUUCGCGGGUAGGGCCUCGGGGGUCUGCGGGAGAGGCCCGGAAAAGACAAUGGGCGCAUACUCCAGGCCUCGCGCCUCGGGUGGGGACCCUCGGGAUCAUCUCCAAGGAACAUUUUUCCACCCCUUCCCUGGGUGAGCGACAUCCCCGCGUGGGGCUGGUACCCAUCGCAUCGAUGACUGGGGCCGGGCUUCAUGGCGGGGCGGGAUCAGUGUUGCCCUAGCUGCGGACGGGAUUUUGUUUUGCUAGUUUUGGGGGUUGCUAAUGUCAUCAUCAUCAUAUUUUAAUUAAAAUAAUCGUCCAGGAGCCAAACAGCUUGUCUCUUUUAGCUUCUUUGGAGUGAUAAAGCAAUACCGGUUUCCUCCCACUAGAGCUGUGUUUUAAGUUGCUGGGUUUGGGGGAGGGAGAGAAAAUGGGGGGGGACACAGAGACUCUGUCCUAAAGCAGAAAUUAACCAGGCAGGGGGUAGAUUCCCCUUGUUCCCAUUCCCCGCCCCAUUUGGAUUGGAAGAGGAGAAGGAAAAUCUCUGGCAUUGGAUUGAAACUGAAGGGAAGAAAUUAUUACUGUAUUUCCACUAAAGCCAGGGCAAAAAGAAGGCGGACCUUGUAAUUAAUCUAAGACUUCGAUGUGUGACCAUAAAUGAGAAGAUUUGGGCAAAACAAAUUAAACAAAACCCCCCCAGAGGGGAAAUCGAAAGCCAGCCUAAAUCUCACUAGGCUACAUCCUAGGAAGCCGUAUUGGAUUCAUUUUUACCCCCUUCCUUUCCUUGGUUAUUGCUGCAAGGAAUUACUAGAAUUCUCCCCUACUCUGCUGAUCUGGAUACAUAGUGAAAAAUCGAAACUCCUGUGUAGAGAUGGUUGAGGAAAAGGCGAGGGCUUUUCUUUCUUUUCCUUUUCUCUUCCUCCUCCUCCUUUUGUGUGUGUGUGUGUGUGUGUGUUCCUCUUAAUCAGUAGGAAGAAGAAAAGGGACCCGGAUACAUCAGAUAUCCCCCACCUCCCCCAAUUCUCUCAGAUCUGCGCCUUUCAAAUUGUAUCCCUUCGGGAAAGUAGCCUUUGGAAUUGGGUUCCGGUUUCGUUUUGGGCUGGAGAUGGGCAAGUGGGGGUCGUGGAGAGAAUGAGGACCUCCGGAGGUUCCGUCCCACCCAGCAGGGUCUGAAGACUGGAUUCCCUUUUUCCGACACACGGUCCCCUACCCACCCAGGCCAGGCUGCUCAGGACUCCGCGCUGUGGCUGCAGCUCCAGCCCGACUCGGAUUCCGGGCCAAAGGCAUAGACAAGUCAGUGCUGAGAAAACAAAUGGCCACACUGAACCAGACAUCCCUGUUGGAGGGUCCGAUAGUGUUCCCGGCAGCCGGCAGCGGGGCUGUUGUUGUUGGACUAAAUAGUUAUUCCUGAUUGGUCAGGUGUAGGGUUCUUUUUAUGGGGGUUCAGGGGAGGCUUCAGACACCUGCAGGUUGGGGGCGGAAAGCUGCUGGCGGCUCCCUGGGCUGGUUGGUGAGGACAUGAGGUAAUUCCCAGCCAUUGACCCCCAUUUCUCUCUCUCCCUCCCUCUCGCCCUCCCUCUUUCUCUCCACCCCCAUCUUUCCUGGAAACUGGCUCUGGGCGCGGCAGACCGCCCAGGACCACACCGCGGCCUAACUGUCGGUCUCUCGGUGAGAGAGGGGGGGAAGGCAGAGACCCCUGUGCACUCCCGGACCUCGGCUCCCGCCCCUCUCCCGUGGAAGGAGUGGAGAUCCUAUUCAGAGGGGCCGGUCUCUCUAAAUAUGCCCCAGGAUGACGGAGCAGCCGCCCAGCGAGGCGGCACGCAGUGACCCCCCGCUCGAGGGACGGGACGCGGCCGAGGCCCGCAUGGCCCCCCCGCACCUGGUCCUGCUGAACGGCGUCGCCAAGGAGACGGGCCGCGCGGCCCCCGCGGAGCCCCCGGUCAUCGAGCUGGGCGCGCGCGGCGGCCCGGGGGGCGGCCCUGCCGGCGGGGGCGGCGCCGCGCGGGACUUAAAGGGCCGCGACGCGGCGGCGGCGGCGGCCGAAGCGCGCCAUCGGGUGCCCACCACCGAGCUGUGCCGACCUCCGGGGCCCGCGCCCGCGCCCGCCUCGGCCCCCGCGGAGCUGCCGGGCGAAGGCCGCAUGGUGCAGCUGAGCCCGCCGGCGCUGGCGGCCCCCGCCGCCCCCGGCCGCGCGCUGCUCUACAGCCUCAGCCAGCCGCUCGCCUCCCUCGGCAGUGGGUUCUUUGGGGAGCCAGAUGCCUUCCCUAUGUUCGCCACCAACAACCGAGUGAAGAGGAGACCCUCCCCUUAUGAGAUGGAGAUUACUGACGGUCCCCACACCAAAGUUGUGCGACGCAUCUUCACCAACAGCCGGGAGCGAUGGCGGCAGCAGAAUGUGAAUGGGGCGUUCGCUGAGCUCCGCAAGCUGAUCCCCACACAUCCCCCAGACAAGAAGCUCAGCAAGAAUGAGAUCCUCCGCCUGGCCAUGAAGUACAUCAAUUUCCUGGCCAAGCUGCUGAACGACCAGGAGGAGGAGGGCACCCAGCGGGCCAAGCCUGGCAAGGACGCCGUGGUGGGGGCUGGGGGAGGGGGGGGAGGGGGAGGGGGAGGUGCGCCUCCAGAUGACCUCCUGCAGGACGUGCUUUCCCCGAACUCUAGUUGUGGCAGCUCCCUGGACGGGGCAGCCAGCCCAGACAGCUACACCGAAGAGCCGGCACCCAAGCACACGGCCCGCAGCCUCCAUCCCGCCAUGCUGCCUGCCACCGAUGGAGCCGGCCCCCGGUGAUGGUCUGGGGCCAACCCAGGACCAGCCGGAAGGGGGCCCUCAGGCUGCUGGGACCGUGGGCUUCAGGGCACGUGGGGUGAGGAUUGGGCGGCUCUGAAGCAGGGCGUGGACUUCAUGAGCUUUCCUUGAUGUCUGAACUUUCCUUGAUGUCUGAGUGCCCCUGGGGCUGGCUUUCCCGGUUCCUGCCUCAGUAGGAGGACCGAAAAAUGAAGCAAAGUGGCCCCUGUCAGUCCAUCCAGCUUGCCCGCUGCUGCAGAGAGCCACGAGCCUCGAGGUGCCUUCUUCAGGGCCUGGUUGAAGAAGACGCCCCGUGGACAGCCUGAUCUCGACUAGCUGGGCCGGAGGGUCAGAAAACCCAGGAGCCCUUCCUUCUCAUGCGGGGGAUCGAAGCUCUGCUUUCUCCCUGCUCAGACUUGCCUUCCUCAUCCUUGUGGCUCUGCGGACCGGGUCUGCCGCUGUGAGCCUGCCUUGUGGGCUUUGUGCGAAGGCAGAAAAAGGAGACAUGAUGAGAGUGAAAUCGAGUAAGAGCUGUUUGGGGCACGUGGGCUUCAAAUCGUGGUGAUGUCUCAGAGCCACCUGCUUGCGUUCUCAGUGACACUCUGCGGUGGGUGCGGGGGGCAGAGACCGGGAUGCUGGGGAGGGUGCUGGUGCAGAGAGUAGAUGUGCAGCUCUGUUGCAUGUUCUCCUGGGUGCUCAGAGGGACCCUCCUGUGGCAGGAUGUCUGUUUGCUGGUGGUCUGGUCUGUAUUCUGAGACCAAAUUGAGAGCAGAGCCCGUCCUGUGAAUUCCUGGUAUUGGGGAUUGUGCUUGACUUCAGUUAUCUGCAGGAUCUCUAGGUCUUGAUAGGACCCAGGAUCUAGCCUGGUGCCCAGGGCCUGGGGAAUCAGGGGAGACCAGGCCUUGGCCGAGACCCAGGCACACAUAUACACACAUGUUCACUUCGGCGUCCCUGGAUGGUGCAAAUUUCAGUCAUCAAGGGUGUGUCUGGGAGGCUGGCUUAACCCAACACGAGCGCUCCCUGCCAAAAGUUGUACAUGACAUUUUUGUAAAUCAAAUCCUCAUCGUUCAUCUUUUAAAGAAAAACUACCACAAGUCCUUCGGUAAAGUGGAAAAUCCUUUUGUGGAAUGGCCCCCCGCCCCCUCAUUGAACUCGUGUGUCCGUCCAGAUGGUGGGAGGUGGUUUGCAAGGCAAGGCCUGCCUGUGACCCACAUCUCGAGCCCGUGGAACAAACCACGCACAAGCCCUGUACACCUGUCACUGUGCCCUCAGGGCACCCCAGCCAGCCCUGACCAGGCUCUGCUUUGAGGUCGGAGGGAAGAUGAUGCGUUGGCUCUGCCCUGUCCACAGCGGUGUGGGCUUCAGCCUGGUGGCUUGCCCUCGCCAUGGCAGGGCCUGGGGGACAGCUGCAUGCACACGGGGAAUGAGCUCUGCCCCCCUCCCCUUCCUUUCAGGUUGUGCGGUCCAGCUCGUAGGGGUGGGAGCAAUGGGGUUAAUGCUGGCAGCGCUCUGUCCCAUUUCACCCCCCACUCGUACUUGGUUGACCAUGAAGACUGCUUCCUUUCUGAUACUUGGAAGCUCCUGUGAGGAGCCCCAUCUGACAGAGCACCUGUGCCAGGUGCUAAGGCCGUGUUUGCUUCCUGGGGGCUCAGGGUGACAUGGAGUGAAAAGUGGCCACCGUGUGCCUGGGAGGAUGGGCUUUAGGAGAUGGGUCCCCCAUUCUAUCAGGAACUCAAGCUUCUGGCUCUCUCUUUUCUUAGACUUGCAGUGCAACCUGCAAGAGUUCUCUCUCUGAAUGUUGGUGUCUCAUAAAUACCCUGGCUCAGCCCGUCUCCCCGGGCCGUGGUGUGGACGGAGUGGAAUCAUGCACGUAGAAGCAUUUCGAGAGUGUGAGGCACUCCGUUGCCCUCAGUAUCAUUCCUGCAGUGGGGUUUCCCACCCUGAGUCCAGGACCCAGGCGGUGGGCCAGGUUGCCUGACUGCCCAGCAUUUGGGUCAUGCAGGUUCUAAACCACAGAAGCGCGCGUCAACUAGACUCUCCUCAUUUCUCCAGAUGGACCUCAUUUCUGUUUUAUUCCAAGGCAAAGGCACAGGAGGGAGAUGAGAGACAGGAUAUGGGAACGUGGGCAGAAUCGGUAUAAAGUGUCACAGCUCCCCACGACCGGCCCGGGUAGGGAUGGGCCACGUUUCAUGUCUUUGUUAAGAACUCGAGAUAGAGCCACAAUUUUGAUUUUCGCUUCCAACCCCCCGCCCCCCAGCACACCCUUCUCUUUCCUUUGGCUCCUCUUCAUCCGUGGAUAUUCUUCAUCCGAGAAGAAUAUCUGUUUGAAAUGGGGAAAAAAUGUAAAGGUAAAAAGUCACGAGGCGCCAAGGGUGAUCGCAAGUGACCGGAAGUAAUCACACCUUUUAAGAAAAACUCAUGUGCUUUUCUUCGUAGUGGCAAACGACGAGAUGGUACAACCUCUAUCCCUUUCCGAAAGCAAAACAGAGGGCACAGCAUCUGUAGUCAGCCGACAGCUGGCUGGGCCUUUGGGGGUGGUCUCAUCGUACUUGUGAUUUCAGUGGUACGUGGCCCCCGCCGAAGGCUGGCCCCCACCCCCCCACCCCGUUCGGCCGUGUACAUAGCGCACUGUUCCUGCGGGCGGGCCCGGCACUUUCCGUCAAUGUUGUACUGUACGUGAUGCAUUGCGUUGGUCUCUGCAUUUUUCUGCAGAAGAGGAGUAACCGCUCCGGGUACCUUGACCUUUGUGUAGCCCAGAGGCCAACACUGUGGGCGUGUGACUCUUUAGCAACAAAACCCAUGUGGUGAUGACGUGUGUGUAUAUAUAAGGAUAUAUGGGGAAGAUUUCUAAAUAAAAGUUUUACAAAGGG